GACGAACGCUGGCGGCGUGCUUAACACAUGCAAGUCGAACGGAAAGGCCCUGCUUUUGUGGGGUGCUCGAGUUGCGAACGGGUGAGUAACACGUGAGUAACCUGCCCUUGACUUUGGGAUAACUUCAUGAAACUGGGGCUAAUACCGGAUAGGAGCUCCUGCUGCAUGGUGGGGGUUGGAAAGUUUCGGCGGUUGGGGAUGGACUCGCGGCUUAUCAGCUUGUUGGUGGGGUAGUGGCUUACCAAGGCUUUGACGGGUAGCCGGCCUGAGAGGGUGACCGGCCACAUUGGGACUGAGAUACGGCCCAGCCUCCUACGGGAGGCAGCAGGGGGGAAUAUUGCACAAUGGGCGGAAGCAUGAUGCAGCAAAGCAGCGUGCGGGAUGACGGCCUUCGGGUUGUAAACCGCUUUCGCCUGUGACGAAGCGUGAGGGACGGGAAUGGGUAAAGAAGCACCGGCGAACUACGU
Molecule: ribosomal RNA, 467 nt
Filed under: uncultured bacterium
Lineage: Bacteria
Description: partial 16S ribosomal RNA
Rfam family: Bacterial small subunit ribosomal RNA
Source: RNAcentral